RNAcentral lists this unclassified non-coding RNA (220 nucleotides) under plant metagenome. RNAcentral describes it as "partial contains small subunit ribosomal RNA, internal transcribed spacer 1, and 5.8S ribosomal RNA". The record is from RNAcentral.
UUUCCGUGGGUGUACCUGCGGAAGGAUCAUUACAGAGUUCAUGCCCUCACGGGUAGAUCUCCCACCCUUGAAUAUUUAUACCUUAGUUGCUUUGGCAGGCCGUGGAAACACCAUGGGCUCCGGCUUAUGCGUGCCUGCCAGAGGAAACAAACUCUAUUUUUAGUGAUGUCUGAGUACUAUAUAAUAGUUAAAACUUUCAACAACGGAUCUCUUGGUUCUG